This 421-nucleotide ribosomal RNA is filed under the name uncultured bacterium. RNAcentral's name for it is "bacterial SSU rRNA". It matches the Rfam family "Bacterial small subunit ribosomal RNA", at positions 358 to 771 of the family's 1533-position model. The record is from RNAcentral.
GGAAUUUUGGACAAUGGGCGCAAGCCUGAUCCAGCAAUGCCGCGUGCGGGGAGAAGGCCUUCGGGUUGUAAACUGCUUUUGUACGGAACGAAACGGUACUGGUUAAUACCUGGGGCUAAUGACGGUACCGUAAGAAUACGCACCGGCUACCUACGUGCCACCAGCCGCGGUAAUACGUAGGGUGCAAGCGUUAAUCGGAAUUACUGGGCGUAAAGCGUGCGCAGGCGGUUUUGUAAGACAGGCGUGAAAUCCCCGGGCUUAACCUGGGAAUGGCGCUUGUGACUGCAAAGCUGGAGUGCGGCAGAGGGGGAUGGAAUUCCGCGUGUAGCAGUGAAAUGCGUAGAUAUGCGGAGGAACACCGAUGGCGAAGGCAAUCCCCUGGGCCUGCACUGACGCUCAUGCACGAAAGCGUGGGGAGCAA